UACGGAGGAUGCAAGCGUUAUCCGGAUUUAUUGGGUUUAAAAGGGUGCGCAGGUUGUUUGAUAAGUCAGUGGUGAAAGUCUGUCGCUUAACGGUAGGAUUGCCAUUGAUACUGUUGGACUUGAAUAUGGAUGAGGUAGGCGGAAUGUGUAGUGUAGCGGUGAAAUGCAUAGAUAUUACACAGAACACCGAUUGCGAAGGCAGCUUACUAAUCCAUCAUUGACGCUGAGGCACGAAAGCGUGGGGAUCAAACAGGA
RNAcentral lists this ribosomal RNA (255 nucleotides) under uncultured prokaryote. RNAcentral describes it as "partial 16S ribosomal RNA". It matches the Rfam family "Bacterial small subunit ribosomal RNA", at positions 524 to 777 of the family's 1533-position model. The record is from RNAcentral.